UGCUAACUAGGGUAGCUGUUAUGGUCAUGGCGCUUCGGAAGGAGCUCCUGAAGCCGAUCGCAACUCAACUUCCCUAUGCAUCAUGGUAAAAGUGAUAACUGAGAUGGAAAUCCAAGAGGGAUCUCUCCCGCGUCUCAAGUCCCUGGUAUGUCUUAAUUAAAGAGGUGAGCGACGAAACAAAAAAGGAGUGGAAGUGUGACUCCGGAUUUCCCAAGCUCUUGUUUUUCACGAAGAAAGAACUGGUUGAUGAUGUUUAAAGUCUAUAGGACGUCCAUAUCAAAGAUUCUACAGAUUUUAUAUUUACUAGUCAUCAACCCGUGCAUUCGCACGGGCUAGUAUAUUCACAAUACUAACUUUGUACAAAUUUAAAUAAUGAAUAUAAUUAAGAUGAUAUUAAUUGAUGGCUUUGCAGUUACUUUACCAUUUUAUUUCAGGGCCAAAUAUUUAUUUAUUUAUUUAUGGCAUGCCACUGUUUUUCGUUUACCCGUUUGUGGCAGCACACACACCAAUGGAUUUAGAUAUUCGGUGUUAGAAUUGUUCACAGCAGGUAAACUUGCAUAUAAAAGUUAGAUUUAGUGUACUAUUUGAAAUGUGGCCGAACUCUAGGAUAUGCCAAAAACAUUAAUAUAUUUUUAUCAUGGGAAGUUUACUUGCUAUUUUCUCCAGGGGCUAAAAUAGGUGUCAUAUCCUUUGCUGAGUUUUCCGUUUAUAUCGAUCUGAUUGUUAUAUCAGUCCAUCUCAGUCUGCAUUUUCAUUCGCCUAUGUAGGUCCACUUCUUCUUGCUCGAUAGUGUGGCCAAUUCUAGAAAGCCAUUUGAAGCUCUUACUUACGGAAGAUGUUCCAGUGGAUUCCAAAUCCAAUCUCCUCUCUCUAUAUGAGCAUAAGAUUGAAUAGGAUAGUACUUUUGGAAACAAAGCUACUUUUGGAACUCUAUGUUGUUGUGUCCAUCUUUAUCAUGUUGCAAAUCAGAUGGGUGGAGGAUGUCGUUCAGUGGUGAAUAUACAUGAGUCAUCUGGGAGAAUUCUAGAAUCUUAACUGGUAUUUAUUUUCCAUAUUAUGUUUGACUCGGCAGAAGGUGGUUUGAAAUCUAUAUUUUAUGAGCAUUGUCUUUC
This 1112-nucleotide long non-coding RNA is filed under the name Hordeum vulgare. RNAcentral describes it as "long non-coding RNA (HVUL_LNC017184)". The record is from RNAcentral. Lineage: Eukaryota; Viridiplantae; Streptophyta; Magnoliopsida; Poales; Poaceae.